UUGAAAUAAAAAAUUUAUUGAUUUUUAAAUUUUAUUAAAUUUUUAAUAAAAAUAAUUUUAUAUUUAGGGUUUUAGUAUAGUUUAUAGAAAUAAUUAUUUUAAUAAUAGGGUAAUAGUAUUGUGAAAGAAAAUUGAAAUAAUUUGAAAAACAAAUUAUAGGAAAGAAAUAUUAAUUUUGUGUACCUUUUGUAUCAGGGUUUAUUAAUUAAAUUUUAUUAAUAAAUAAAUUUCUCGAAUUUAAAAGAUUUAAUAAAUUAUUAAAGUUAAUGUUGAAAAAUUAUUUUAAAUAGUUUAUUAGGAAUGAAAUGUUAAUCGUUUUUAAAUAUAUCUAGUUUUUUAAGAAAUAAAUUUAAUUUACAUAUUUUAAAUAUAAUUUUUUAUUUAGUUAAAAAGAUUAUUUUUUGGUAUGAAUAUAUUAAGGGAUAAGCUUUAAUUUAAUUUCUAUAAUAAGUUGAGUUAGUGUUAUAAAUAUAGGGUUAGAAAUAUCUAUUAUUAAUAAAUUUGUUUUAAUUUAUAUAUGGAUUAUAUAAUUUACUUUUAUUUAGAUUUUUUAUUAAAAUAAUUAUUUUAAUUAGGAUAAUAAUGAAAUAAUGAUAAAAUUAGUAUAAAAGUUUGUAAAAAAUUAAUUUUUAAAAAGAUUAAAUUAAGGAAUUCAGCAAAUUAAUACUCACCUGUUUAACAAAAACAUGUCUUUUUGAUUAUAAUUUAAAGUCUAACCUGCCCACUGAAAUUUUUGAAGGGCCGCGGUAUUUUGACUGUGCAAAGGUAGCAUAAUCAUUAGUCUUUUAAUUGAAGGCUUGUAUGAAUGGUUGGAUGAGGUAUUAACUGUCUCAAUUUAAUAAAUAAUAGAAUUUUAUUUUUAAGUUAAAAAGCUUAAAUGAAGUUAAAAGACGAGAAGACCCUAUAGAUCUUUAUAAUUAAUUUUAUUAUAAUUUUUUAGAUGAAAUUUAUUUUUAUAAAAUUAAUUAUUUUAUUGGGGUGAUGAAAAAAUUUAAAAAACUUUUUUUGUAUAUAAACAAUUAUAUUUGGUUAAUUGAUCCAUUUUUUGUGAUUAUAAGAUUAAGUUACCUUAGGGAUAACAGCGUAAUUUUUUUGGAGAGUUCUUAUCGAUAAAAAAGAUUGCGACCUCGAUGUUGAAUUAAAGGUUAAUUUUAGGUGUAGAAGUUUAAAAUUUUGGUCUGUUCGACCAUUAAAUCUUUACAUGAUUUGAGUUCAAACCGGUGUGAGCCAGGUUGGUUUCUAUCUUUAAUUAAAUAAAAUAUUUUAGUACGAAAGGACCAAAUAUUUAAAAUAUUUUUUAAAAGUGAAUAAUAUUAAU
This 1318-nucleotide ribosomal RNA is filed under the name Parachauliodes yanbaru. RNAcentral describes it as "16S ribosomal RNA". The stretch from base 1075 to 1234 matches the Rfam family "Archaeal large subunit ribosomal RNA", at positions 2544 to 2703 of the family's 2987-position model. Lineage: Eukaryota; Metazoa; Arthropoda; Insecta; Megaloptera; Corydalidae. The record is from RNAcentral.